This 253-nucleotide ribosomal RNA is filed under the name uncultured bacterium. Its description in RNAcentral is "partial 16S ribosomal RNA". It matches the Rfam family "Bacterial small subunit ribosomal RNA", at positions 524 to 776 of the family's 1533-position model. The record is from RNAcentral.
UACAGAGCGUGCGAGCGUUAAUCGGAAUUACUGGGCGUAAAGCGCACGUAGGUGGCGACGUAAGUCGGGUGUGAAAGCCCCGGGCUCAACCUGGGAAUUGCAUUCGAGACUGCAUUGCUGGAGUACGGAAGAGGAGGGCGGAAUUCCGGGUGUAGCGGUGAAAUGCGUAGAUAUCGGGAGGAACAACAGUGGCGAAGGCGGCCCUCUGGUACAGUACUGACACUCAAGUGGGAAAGCGUGGGGAGCAAACAGG